Molecule: ribosomal RNA, 493 nt
Filed under: uncultured bacterium
Lineage: Bacteria
Description: partial 16S ribosomal RNA
Rfam family: Bacterial small subunit ribosomal RNA
Source: RNAcentral
ACGCACGCUGGCGGCGUGCUUAACCCAUGCAAGUCGAACGGAAAGGCCUGCUUUCCCUUGUGGAUUGCGGGUACUCGAGUGGCGAACGGGUGAGUAACACGUGAGUGAUCUGCCCCCAACUUGGGUAUAAGCCUGGGAAACUGGGUCUAAUUCCCGAUAGGACUGCAGGGUGGUGCCUGUGGUGGAAAACGAUUUUCUAGUGGUUGGGGAUGAGCUCGCGGCCUAUCAGCUUGUUGGUGGGGUAAUGGCCUACCAAGGCGGCGACGGGUAGCCGGCCUGAGAGGGUGGACGGCCACAUUGGGACUGAGAUACGGCCCAGACUCCUACGGGAGGCAGCAGUGGGGAAUAUUGCACAAUGGGCGGAAGCCUGAUGCAGCGACGCCGCGUGGGGGAUGACGGCCUUCGGGUUGUAAACUCCUUUCGACCGCGAGGAAGCCACCUGGUUGGAAGGGUGGUGACGGUAGUGGUAGAAGAAGCACCGGCUAACUACGUG